This is a long non-coding RNA of Lutra lutra (Eurasian river otter), 3448 nucleotides long. RefSeq lists it as uncharacterized. Lineage: Eukaryota; Metazoa; Chordata; Mammalia; Carnivora; Mustelidae. The transcript has 2 exons. The record is from RefSeq and is a predicted model, not a curated record.
GGGAGCCUGAUGUGGGGCUCAAUCUCAGGACCCUGGGAUCAUGACCUGAGCUGAAGUCAGACACUUAACUGACUGAGCCACCCAGGUGCCCCAAGAGUUCUAUUUAAUAAACACUUAGAUAUGUCAGAGUUUUCACUAAAAGGUCUAUACAAACUUACAGUACAAAGAAUUUUUUUCAGUUCUUUUUUGAAAAUUGUUGCUGUAAUAUUAGACCUCUCCAAUCUAAGAAGCUUGCAAGUACUGUUGUCAUGAACUAUUUCUUAAAAUUUUCUCAAUAACUUUAUCAGAACAGCAACAUAAAUUUUUUUCAAAGAAAUUUAAAAUAUUCUGACGGACUGAACUUUUUUCUCUAGAUAAAAGCCAAGUAUUCUUAGAGUCUAAAUCAGUCUGUGUGCUUAUUUAGGUUUUUUGGUGUUUUGUUGUUUUGGUUUCUUAAGUGUGUUUAGGUUUGUUAUGAAAAGGAAACCUAUUUCUAAACUCCCCACAUUUAAUAUAUGAGCACCUUAAAAGGGGAGGAGCUUUUGGGGCACCUGGCUGUUCUGUUGCUAGAGCAUGCAACUCUGCAUCUUGGGGUUGGUAGGUUCAAGCUCCACUUGAGUGUAGAGGUCAUUUAAAUGUAAAAUCUUCUAUGGGUGCCUGGGAGGUGCAGGCAGGUAAACUGCUACCUUCAGCUCAGGUCAUGAUCCCGGGGUCCUGGGAUCAAGCCUUGAGUUGGGCUCCCUUCUCAGUGGGGAAACUGCUUCUCCCUUUCCUCCCCACUCAAGCUGUCUGUCGCUAUCUCUCCCUCCCGCUCAAAUAAAAUGUUUAAAAAUAAAAUCUUCUAAAAAACAUUUUUUUAAGGGGAGUGGGGGAGAGUGGCACGUAUAUGGCUCAGUUGGUGGAGGGUGUGACCCUUGGUCUCCAGGUUGUGAGUCAGAACUGCACUUUGGGUGUAGAGAGUACUUUAAAAAAUCUGAAUGGGGGCAGGGAGGAGCUAUCAGCUAUUAUGUAAAGAUAGUGACAUUUCCUCCUACAGCUAUUACAAAGAAUCAAUUCUGAGAUGUUUUAGACAGUGUGAUUUUUUUUUUUAAGUUUUUUUUUGUUUUGUUUAUUUGACAGAGCACAAGCAGGGGGAGCAGCAAGGAGAGGAAGAAGGGGCUCGCUCCCCGGGCCCCAGGAUCAUGACCCAUGCUGAAGGCGGACAACCAACUGGUUGAGCCACCUAGGCACCCCCUAUACAGUGUGAUCUUUUAAUUAAGGUUAAUGUUUUCCAUUAAAGCUCAAACCAGUAACUUUAAAUUCUGUGCAACUCAGUGGAAAGAAGCAGCACUUCAUCUAAUAUUAGUAACUUAUGAGUAGUAGAUCUUAUAUUGAGCUAGGUCUUUAAGGAUCCACUUCAACAUAGAAAAUUUGGUGAUAAUGCCAGUAAAUCAUCUAAUUCCAUGUGUUGGUAUCCUUUUCACCAACCAGCUCUGAGUAUAAUUACACUUUGAGUAUAAUUACACUUUUUGUGUUGUAAUGGAGGUAAAGUACUGGCCGAAGAGAUUUAAGUUUCCUUUCUUAACAAACUGAUAAAACACCUUUUUUUGUUUUUUAAAAACAUAACCUGUCUCCUGGUUGCUGUGCCUUCAGCCUGAGAGACAUCAAGUUUGCUUAUCUUAAUAAGAUCAGGUAUGUUUGAGCUCCCACACCUUAGGUAAAUAAGCAUUGUUUUGAAUUUUACAUCACUUAUAAAAGCUAAAUACAAGGAACUACAGUUAUUUCAGCAAGUCAGUAAUACAGCCAAACCUAGGGAGAUACAUAUGAAAAAAAUACAGUAAAUACAAAAAAAUCUUCCAUCAAGUUGGCAAUAAACAUUGUGUGAGAGAGUGUUUCUGAGAAUAUGGACAUGUCUUAGUCUGGAGUAACUUCUACCAUGGUCACUGUAUUAUCCAGAAGAUUAACCAGGGGAAAAAAAUACAAUUAAUUUCCCUUAGAUCAAAGUUAAGGUCAACCAGGUCUCUCCUGCUGAUUCUGCCAAGCUAGUUGCUCCACUACGCUUCACUGGGUGCUAGGUAGGAACAGUGGGAAUCUUGUUAUCCAUUCAUAGGCGUCACUGUUGAGAUAAUGAGGUAUUUGGCUACCCUGAGAGUUGUGGUUACUCUAUGAUACCCUCAUUUCAUUGGAUUUCUUUAUUUUGACAUUUGAAGCACUGGGCAGAAGUCACUAGUUUGGGGGACUUGGGUUAUUUUUUUAAAGUUAAAGGAUUGGGAUUCUCCGAAUUGGAUAACAAAGUAGUCCACCUCAUUAGCUAUGGGUUUUUUUAAUGUGAUAGGCAAAAGACAACACAAUUGCAUUUAAGGGUAACUGAGUAAGAUAAGGAAUUGUGUAAGAAAGAAAUUUUUUUUAAGGACUAGACUUUAAAUCAUCCUGCCUAAUAAAGUCAUGGCUGAAAGGAUAAAUGAGGUGUGGAAUUUAGUCCUUCCAACAUUCCACCGUGUUAAUCAUUCUUCCUGUUCAGAGAGGCAGCAAAGAGUAAUUUGAGUGGCUGCGGUUAUAAAUAAUGUGCCAUAUAAGCUCCCAAGGGCUGAGAUAAGGGGGUUAUGAUUGUCAAAGAGAAGAACUUCAUUCUCUUUUGUUUAUCAUUUGAUGGUUUCUGUUGCCCCUAGAGAGUCAUCUUAAUUAAGGUCACUAUUUCUAAAACCAGAGUUCACCAAGUGCCAAAUACAUGAACAAGAAAAUACCCUAUUAAACUUCUCUCAAACCACUGUAUUUUUUUAAGACUUUAUUUUUAAGUAAUCUCUGCACCCAAUAUGGGGCCGAACUCAUAACCCCAAGAUCAGAAGUUGCACAUUCCACCAACUGAGCCAUGCAGGCACCCCUCAAACACUACGUAUCUUAAGAGAGCAGGGUUAUCUGCAGGUUUGCUCCAUUCAGCAUAAGCUUAACAAGUAUUAGUGGAGACUGGUUGAAUUUAGGAUCAACCUAAAAUCCUCUAAGGUAUCCAGUGUUAACUAAUUACUCUCCCUCUUUAUGCAAGCUUUAGUUUGCCUAAAAAGUGAUUGACUUUUCUUCAAAUAGCCACAGUGAUUUGGGGGCAGUUCAUCUUCAUCGUAUCUUUGGACAGCUCUUUUAGGCUGUAGAACUGAAUACAAGAUCCUAAAUUAAUUCUGUGCCACAGAAACCUGAGUAAAAUAAGGAAUUGGGUGGGUAAGUAGCAAACAACAUAGGUUAUUAGGACAUGUAGCUCACUCCAUAAGUAAACUGAGAAACUUAACCAGGUUAUUAGGGUUGUUGUUUGUUUUUGAACUAUUGUGAUUUUCAGAUCUGUGGGAAUAUUUUCAUAAAAUAACUCUAGUUUUCAUUAUGUUAGCUUAGAAUUGCAGUAGCAAGUUUUAGGACCUAUUUGAGAUGUGAGAUAAAAACAUGUAACAGAUUAUACAUAUAUGAUUGUAGCAUUGUUUCAAUAAACUUAAAUCAUUUUAAGUGA